AAGAUAGCAUCACGUUACGUGAGUUAUACUUUUCGGUUUUAUAUUUUGAAUGGAUGGAUUGUCAGCUGCUUGGAUCUUUUUAGACCGAGACAGAAAG
Dialister sp. CAG:357 is the source of this 97-nucleotide regulatory RNA element. It matches the Rfam family "pan motif". NCBI's taxonomy places the organism in Bacteria, Bacillati, Bacillota, Negativicutes, Veillonellales, Veillonellaceae. The record is from Rfam.